Molecule: ribosomal RNA, 455 nt
Filed under: uncultured bacterium
Lineage: Bacteria
Description: bacterial SSU rRNA
Rfam family: Bacterial small subunit ribosomal RNA
Source: RNAcentral
GACGAACGCUGGCGGCGUGCUUAAUACAUGCAAGUCAACUGAACUUGAAGUAGCAAUAUUUCAAGGGAGGUGGCGCACGGGUGAGUAACACGUAGGUAAUCUGCCUUUAGGUCUGACAUAAUUCCGCGAAAGCGGGACUAACUUCAGAUGAUGCAGCGGCUCGACAUCGAGACAGUUGUUAAAUCUUCGGAGCCUAAAGAUGAGCCUGCGUCUGAUUAGGUAGUUGGCGGAGUAAAAGCCCACCAAGCCUGCGAUCAGUAGCUGGUCUGAGAGGAUGAUCAGCCACACUGGAACUGAGACACGGUCCAGACUCCUACGGGAGGCAGCAGUAAGGAAUAUUGCUCAAUGGCCGAAAGGCUGAAGCAGCAACGCCGCGUGGAGGAUGAAAUACUUUUGUAUGUAAACUCCUGUGAGAAGGGAAAAUAUGCAGAUUUCUGCGUUGAUUGUACCUUCAG